Molecule: ribosomal RNA, 253 nt
Filed under: uncultured bacterium
Lineage: Bacteria
Description: partial 16S ribosomal RNA
Rfam family: Bacterial small subunit ribosomal RNA
Source: RNAcentral
GACGAGGGAUCCUAGCGUUGUUCGGAAUCAUUGGGCGUAAAGCGGAUGUAGGUGGCUUGGUAAGUCAGGUGUGAAAGCCCAGGGCUCAACCCUGGAAGUGCAUUUGAAACUGCUAAGCUUGAGUGCUAGAGAGGUUACUAGAAUACCUGGUGUAGUGGUGAAAUACGUAGAUAUCAGGUGGAAUACCGGAGGCGAAGGCGGGUAACUGGCUAGACACUGACACUCAAAUCCGAAAGCGUGGGGAUCAAACAGG